This is a non-coding RNA of Trichonephila inaurata madagascariensis, 73 nucleotides long. The record is from the annotation of a GenBank genome assembly. NCBI's taxonomy places the organism in Eukaryota, Metazoa, Arthropoda, Arachnida, Araneae, Nephilidae.
AUCCCUAUAGCGCAAUGAAUCACGCGUUGGACUUCUCAUCCAAAAGUUGUGGGUUUGAAUCCCACCUGGAAUG